GGGGAAUCUUAGACAAUGGGGGCAACCCUGAUCUAGCCAUGCCGCGUGAGUGAUGAAGGCCUUAGGGUCGUAAAGCUCUUUCGCUGGGGAAGAUAAUGACGGUACCCAGUAAAGAAACCCCGGCUAACUCCGUGCCAGCAGCCGCGGUAAUACGGAGGGGGUUAGCGUUGUUCGGAAUUACUGGGCGUAAAGCGCGCGUAGGCGGAUCAGAAAGUUGGGGGUGAAAUCCCGGGGCUCAACCUCGGAACUGCCUCCAAAACUCCUGGUCUUGAGUUCGAGAGAGGUGAGUGGAACUCCGAGUGUAGAGGUGAAAUUCGUAGAUAUUCGGAAGAACACCAGUGGCGAAGGCGGCUCACUGGCUCGAUACUGACGCUGAGGUGCGAAAGUGUGGGGAGCAAACAGG
Molecule: ribosomal RNA, 403 nt
Filed under: uncultured bacterium
Lineage: Bacteria
Description: bacterial SSU rRNA
Rfam family: Bacterial small subunit ribosomal RNA
Source: RNAcentral